CCAGACUCCUACGGGAGGCAGCAGUGAGGAAUAUUGGUCAAUGGGCGGAAGCCUGAACCAGCCAAGUCGCGUGAGGGAAUAAGGCCCUACGGGUCGUAAACCUCUUUUGCCGGGGAGCAAGGGCGGGGACGUGUCCCGGCCCGGAGAGUACCCGGAGAAAAAGCAUCGGCUAACUCCGUGCCAGCAGCCGCGGUAAUACGGAGGAUGCGAGCGUUAUCCGGAUUUAUUGGGUUUAAAGGGUGCGUAGGCGGGCUUUUAAGUCAGCGGUAAAAAUUCGGGGCUCAACCCCGUCCGGCCGUUGAAACUGGGGGCCUUGAGUGGGCGAGAAGAAGGCGGAAUGCGUGGUGUAGCGGUGAAAUGCAUAGAUAUCACGAAGAACUCCGAUUGCGAAGGCAGCUUACCAGUCUGCGACUGACGCUCAGGCACGAAAGUGUGGGGAUCGAACAGGAUUAGAUACCCUGGUAUAU
This 467-nucleotide ribosomal RNA is filed under the name uncultured bacterium. RNAcentral describes it as "bacterial SSU rRNA". It matches the Rfam family "Bacterial small subunit ribosomal RNA", at positions 331 to 795 of the family's 1533-position model. The record is from RNAcentral.